GUGGAGCUGUGAAGAGAACAAUUCUCAGACUGGAUGUUGAACAUCAGCUAGUUUCUCCUGUUGAUUUAAAGCUUGUUGUAGAGAUGGAACAUUGGCUGGGGAUUAUUCUUGCUGCUCUUUUCUUUGAGUGUAAAGGAGAAGACAGAGUGAUCCAGCCACCAGGAGAUGUCAUUACUACUGAAGGAGAGAUACAUACUCUUGGCUGUACAUUUGAGACCAGUGUUAGCUCCAAUGCAUAUUUGUUCUGGUACAAACAAGAAGUCAAUGACUCUCCUAAAUUUAUUUUGAGACGUGAUACCAUUGGAACAAAAUCUAAUGCUCCAGAGUUCCAGAGAGACAGAUUUGAUGCUAAAAUCAACAAGACAUCAGUUCCUCUGGAGAUCCAGAAGCUUCAGCUGUCUGACUCUGCUGUGUACUACUGUGCUCUGAGGCCCACAGUGACAGGAAACACCAAAACUCUGUACAAAAGUAGAAUCCAAAAUCCUGGAUGCAGCUGUCACUCUGUUCCUGCUCCACAUCCUGCGAUUCCCUGUUACAUCCUGCUAUUCUUUGCUUUGCCUUGUAAUGCCGUGCAGUGCCCUGCUAUGCCUGCUACUCUCAUCCAGAUCCAGUCCUACCACAUCUUUAAAUUAUUAGUAGUCCUUUCGGUGCUUUAG
Etheostoma spectabile (orangethroat darter) is the source of this 656-nucleotide non-coding RNA. The record is from the annotation of a RefSeq genome assembly. NCBI's taxonomy places the organism in Eukaryota, Metazoa, Chordata, Actinopteri, Perciformes, Percidae.